AACGAACGCUGGCGGCAUGCCUAACACAUGCAAGUCGAACGAGACCUUCGGGUCUAGUGGCGCACGGGUGCGUAACGCGUGGGAACCUGCCCUUAGGUUCGGAAUAACUCCCCGAAAGGGGUGCUAAUACCGGAUAAUGUCUUCGGACCAAAGAUUUAUCGCCUUUGGAUGGGCCCGCGUUGGAUUAGCUAGUUGGUAGGGUAAAAGCCUACCAAGGCGACGAUCCAUAGCUGGUCUGAGAGGAUGAUCAGACACACUGGGACUGAGACACGGCCCAGACUCCUACGGGAAGCAGCAGUAGGGAAUAUUGGAAAAUGGGCGAAAGCCUGAUCCAGCAAUGCCGCGUGAGUGAUGAAGGCCUUAGGGUUGUAAAGCUCUUUUACACGGGAUGAUAAUGACAGUACCGGGAGAAUAAGCUCCGGCUAACUCCGUG
This 433-nucleotide ribosomal RNA is filed under the name uncultured bacterium. Its description in RNAcentral is "partial 16S ribosomal RNA". It matches the Rfam family "Bacterial small subunit ribosomal RNA", at positions 29 to 507 of the family's 1533-position model. The record is from RNAcentral.